CAGUAGCCGCGGUAAUACGGAGGGUGCAAGCGUUAAUCGGAAUUACUGGGCGUAAAGCGCACGCAGGCGGUCUGACAAGUCAGAUGUGAAAUCCCCGGGCUUAACCUGGGAACUGCAUUUGAAACUGUCAGGCUGGAGUCUUGUAGAGGGGGGUAGAAUUCCAGGUGUAGCGGUGAAAUGCGUAGAGAUCUGGAGGAAUACCGGUGGCGAAGGCGGCCCCCUGGACAAAGACUGACGCUCAGGUGCGAAAGCGUGGGGAGCAAACAGGAUUAGAGACCCCGGUAGUCCCUGUCUCUUAUAC
RNAcentral lists this ribosomal RNA (301 nucleotides) under uncultured bacterium. Its description in RNAcentral is "partial 16S ribosomal RNA". It matches the Rfam family "Bacterial small subunit ribosomal RNA", at positions 509 to 807 of the family's 1533-position model. The record is from RNAcentral.